RNAcentral lists this long non-coding RNA (829 nucleotides) under Homo sapiens (human). RNAcentral's name for it is "non-protein coding lnc-OR8J3-1:1". Lineage: Eukaryota; Metazoa; Chordata; Mammalia; Primates; Hominidae. The record is from RNAcentral.
GGAAACAUUUUUACAUUUAUCCACAUAGGUGUCUUAAUUUUCCUAAAGAAACAUCCCCACUCUCCAGAGGUGCCAAAUAAAUAUUUAUUGAAAUCCAUGUCAUGAUGAAUUUUCUGCCUGCCAAAAAUAAUCAUUACUUUAUUGCAGUAGGAGUGGGAUGCUUUAAAUUUAGAGACACGGGUUUUUCUGGAAGAGGACUUCCCAUGUGGAUUCAGCUUGUGGAUUGUACGUCAAUUGUCUUUUUUCUUGGAAAUAAAUUAAUUUGCUCAUUUAAAAAAAUGAUGCAGGAAGCAUACGAGUACUUUUUCUCUGAGCAACUUGGCUUUUUAAGUUUCUGUUAUGCUUCAGUCAUUACAUCCAAAAUGUUUGGAAGUUUCUUGUACAAACAAAAAAAAUUAACCUUCAAUGCACAUAGGCUGCUCUCUCACCUUCAUGACCACCGAGUGCUUGCUCUAGCUUUCAUGGCCUGUGAUCAAUACCUGGUCAUUUGUAAUCCUCCUUUGUAUAUGGUCACCAUGUCCCCCCCGCAAGGAGUCUGCAUUCAGCUUAUGCCUGCCUCCUAUAGCUAUAGCUUCCUGAUGACACUUUCACAUUAUCCUCAGCCUUUGUCUCCCUUAUUGCCCCUCUGUAUCAUUGAUGUUCAAUGGAAGCCUGUUCCUUAUGUACUUAAUGCUCAGAAAAUUCUCUUGACACAGACAGGAUGGCCUCUGUCUUCUACACAGUAGUCAUUCCCAUGUUGAGCCCUUUGAUCUGGAGCCUCAGGAACAAGGAUGUGAAAGAUGCCCUGAGGAAAGUCAUUGUCAACAGAAACCAGGCAUUAUUUUGUUCA